UUCCGGUUGAUCCCGCCGGAGGCUACCGCUAUUGGAGUUCGAUUAAGCCAUGCGAGUCGCGAGUCUUAGGGACUCGGCGUACCGCUCAGUAACACGUGGGUAACCUGCCCUAUGCUGGGGGAUAACCUCGGGAAACUGAGAAUAAUACCCCAUAGUUCACCACGCCUGGAACGGUGGGUGGACCAAAGCUCCGGCGGCAUAGGAUGGGCCUGCGGCGUAUCAGGUUGUAGGGGGUGUAAUGUACCCUCUAGCCCUCUACGCGUACGGGUGUUGAGAGACAUCGCCCGGAGAUGGAUUCUGAGACACGAAUCCAGACCCUACGGGGUGCAGCAGGCGCGAAAACUUGGCAAUGCGAGAAAUCGUGACCAGGGAACUCCAAGUGCAUCGGGUAAGACCGAUGCUUUUCUUGACUCUUCAAAGGUCUUGGAAUAAGGGGUGGGUAAGGACGGUGCCAGCCGCCGCGGUAAUACCGGCGCCCCAAGUGGUAGUCGCUUUUAUUGGGCCUAAAACGUCCGUAGCCUGUUUGGUACAUUCGUGGGUAAAUCAACCAGCUCAACUGGUUGAAUUCUGCGAGCACGGCCAGACUUGGGACCGGGAGAGGUGUGGGGUACGCUCAGGGUAGGGGUAAAAUCCUGUCAUCCUGAGCGGACCACCUGUUGCGAAGGCGCCACACUAGAACGGAUCCGACGGUCAGGGACGAAGCCUAGGGGCACGAACCGGAUUAGAUACCCGGGUAGUCCUAGGUGUAAACGCUGUGGACUUGAUGUUGGGAGUGCUCCGAGCACCCUCAGUGUCGAAGCGAAGGUGAUAAGUCCACUGCCUGGGGAGUACGGUCGCAAGGCUGAAACUUAAAGGAAUUGGCGGGGGAGCACUGCAACCUGAGGAUUGUGCGGUUUAAUUGGAUUCAACGCCGG
RNAcentral lists this ribosomal RNA (914 nucleotides) under uncultured marine archaeon. RNAcentral's name for it is "bacterial SSU rRNA". It matches the Rfam family "Archaeal small subunit ribosomal RNA", at positions 1 to 921 of the family's 1478-position model. The record is from RNAcentral.